GACAGAGGGUGCAAACGUGUUCGGAAUUACUGGGCGUAAAGCGCGUGUAGGCGGCCAACUAAGUCGGGCGUGAAAUCCCACGGCUCAACCGUGGAAGUGCACUCGAAACUGGAUGGCUAGAGCCUGGAGAGGAAGGUGGAAUGCUUGGUGUAGAGGUGAAAUUCGUAGAUAUCAAGCGGAACACCGGUGGCGAAGGCGGCCUUCUGGACAGUGACUGACGCUGAGACGCGAAAAGCGUGGGGAGCAAACAGG
RNAcentral lists this ribosomal RNA (252 nucleotides) under uncultured bacterium. Its description in RNAcentral is "partial 16S ribosomal RNA". It matches the Rfam family "Bacterial small subunit ribosomal RNA", at positions 524 to 776 of the family's 1533-position model. The record is from RNAcentral.